RNAcentral lists this ribosomal RNA (253 nucleotides) under uncultured bacterium. RNAcentral describes it as "partial 16S ribosomal RNA". It matches the Rfam family "Bacterial small subunit ribosomal RNA", at positions 524 to 776 of the family's 1533-position model. The record is from RNAcentral.
UACGAAGGUCCCAAGCGUUGUUCGGAAUCACUGGGCGUAAAGGGUGCGUAGGCGGGUCUUUAAGUCAGGGGUGAAAUCCUGGAGCUCAACUCCAGAACUGCCUUUGAUACUGAAGAUCUUGAGUUCGGGAGAGGUGAGUGGAACUGCGAGUGUAGAGGUGAAAUUCGUAGAUAUUCGCAAGAACACCAGUGGCGAAGGCGGCUCACUGGCCCGAUACUGACGCUGAGGCACGAAAGCGUGGGGAGCAAACAGG